Molecule: long non-coding RNA, 640 nt
Filed under: Homo sapiens (human)
Lineage: Eukaryota; Metazoa; Chordata; Mammalia; Primates; Hominidae
Description: non-protein coding lnc-HMGN3-4:1
Source: RNAcentral
ACCUGCCUACCCCAGCAUAUUAAAAAGGCAUAUCAGGAAACUGGCACUGAAUUGCCACCCAGAUAAUCCUGAAAAUAAGGAAGUAGCACGGAGUAGUGAGGUGUGUGAGGUGUUACCAGAUGCUAGAAAAAAAGACACAUCUAUGACAAAUAUGGCAAAGAAGGAUUAAAUGGUAGUGGAGAAGAUGGAAGUCAUUUUGACAGUCUGAGUUUGGCUUAACAUUCCGUCUUCAGGGAAGUUUUUGGUGGAAGGGACCCAUUUCCAUCUGACUUCUUUGAAGGCCCAUUUGGGGGCAUUUUUGCAGGGAAUGGGGAGGAAUUGAAGAGAUUCCUAAAGAAACAGAAGCCGAGGGAUGGGGCCAUUUUUCUCUGCCUUCAGUGUACUCCCAUCUUUUGGAAUUGGGCUUUGUUCUUUUGGAACAGGGUUUAUUUCAUUUGGGUCACUAGGUCAUGGAGGCAUUAUUUCCAAGUCAUUUGAUAGUAAUGAGAUGGGCAACUUCAAAUCUAUAUCAACUCCUAUUAAAAUAGCUAAUGGCAGAAAAAUUACUAGGAAGAGGUUAAGAGACAGUAGAAGUUGAAGAAGAUGGCCAGUUAAAGUCCUUAACAAUAAAUGGUAAAGAGCAUCAUCCACACUUGGAUAA